RNAcentral lists this ribosomal RNA (467 nucleotides) under uncultured bacterium. RNAcentral's name for it is "partial 16S ribosomal RNA". It matches the Rfam family "Bacterial small subunit ribosomal RNA", at positions 29 to 507 of the family's 1533-position model. The record is from RNAcentral.
ACGAACGCUGGCGGCGUGCUUCACACCUGCCAGUCGAACGGAAAGGCCCUGCUUUUGUGGGGUGCUCGAGUGGCGAACGGGUGAGUAACACGUGAGUAACCUGCCCUUGACUUUGGGAUAACUUCAGGAAACUGGGGCUAAUACCGGAUAGGAGCUCCUGCUGCAUGGUGGGGGUUGGAAAGUUUCGGCGGUUGGGGAUGGACUCGCGGCUUAUCAGCUUGUUGGUGGGGUAGUGGCUUACCAAGGCUUUGACGGGUAGCCGGCCUGAGAGGGUGACCGGCCACAUUGGGACUGAGAUACGGCCCAGACUCCUACGGGAGGCAGCAGUGGAGAAUAUUGCACAAUGGGCGGAAGCCUGAUGCAGCAACGCCGCAUGCGGGAUGACGGCCUUCGGGUUGUAAACCGCUUUCGCCUGUGACGAAGCGUGAGUGACGGUAAUUGGUAAGGAAGCACCGGCUAACUACGUG